UACGAGAGGCCCAAACGUUAUUCGGAAUUACUGGGCGUAAAGGGCUCGUAGGCGGCCAACUAAGUCGGAUGUGAAAUCCCCAGGCUUAACCUGGGAAUUGCAUCCGAUACUGGAUGGCUUGAAUCCGGGAGAGGGAUGCGGAAUUCCAGGUGUAGCGGUGAAAUGCGUAGAUAUCUGGAGGAACACCGGUGGCGAAGGCGGCAUCCUGGACCGGCAUUGACGCUGAGGAGCGAAAGCCAGGGGAGCAAACGGG
RNAcentral lists this ribosomal RNA (253 nucleotides) under uncultured bacterium. Its description in RNAcentral is "partial 16S ribosomal RNA". It matches the Rfam family "Bacterial small subunit ribosomal RNA", at positions 524 to 776 of the family's 1533-position model. The record is from RNAcentral.